GUGGUAAUGCCGGAUGUUCCAGUUGAUCGCAUGGUCUUCUGGGAAAGCUUUCGCGGUAUGGGAUGGGGUCGCGUCCUAUCAGCUUGACGGCGGGGUAACGGCCCACCGUGGCUUCGACGGGUAGCCGGCCUGAGAGGGCGACCGGCCACAUUGGGACUGAGAUACGGCCCAGACUCCUACGGGAGGCAGCAGUGGGGAAUAUUGCACAAUGGGCGCAAGCCUGAUGCAGCGACGCCGCGUGAGGGAUGGAGGCCUUCGGGUUGUAAACCUCUUUUAUCGGGGAGCAAGCGAGAGUGAGUUUACCCGUUGAAUAAGCACCGGCUAACUACGUGCCAGCAGCCGCGGUAAUACGUAGGGUGCAAGCGUUAUCCGGAAUUAUUGGGCGUAAAGGGCUCGUAGGCGGUUCGUCGCGUCCGGUGUGAAAGUCCAUCGCUUAACGGUGGAUCCGCGCCGGGUACGGGCGGGCUUGAGUGCGGUAGGGGAGACUGGAAUUCCCGGUGUAACGGUGGAAUGUGUAGAUAUC
RNAcentral lists this ribosomal RNA (523 nucleotides) under Bifidobacterium longum subsp. infantis. Its description in RNAcentral is "bacterial SSU rRNA". It matches the Rfam family "Bacterial small subunit ribosomal RNA", at positions 160 to 698 of the family's 1533-position model. The record is from RNAcentral. RNAcentral also lists the same sequence under 1 other name. Lineage: Bacteria; Bacillati; Actinomycetota; Actinomycetes; Bifidobacteriales; Bifidobacteriaceae.